Unclassified non-coding RNA from Cavia porcellus (domestic guinea pig), 107 nucleotides. It matches the Rfam family "Y RNA". Rfam says of the family: Y RNAs are components of the Ro ribonucleoprotein particle (Ro RNP), in association with Ro60 and La proteins. The record is from Ensembl. NCBI's taxonomy places the organism in Eukaryota, Metazoa, Chordata, Mammalia, Rodentia, Caviidae.
GGCUGGUCCGAUGGCAGUGGGUUAUCAGAACUUACUAACAUUAGUGUCACUAAAGUUGGUAUACCACCCCCCCACACACACACAGAGCUAAAUUUGACUGGCUUUAA